CAGCUCCGGCAGCAGAGAAAGGAGGGAGGUCAGAGCAAGCCGCCCUCCCGGAAGGGGAGGGGAGCAGUGAAGGGAGUAGUGUAACUGUCAAAAGGAAAGUUAGAGGUUUGGCGCGCGCGCCAAGUUCAAAUGUAGAGGCGCGCGGAAGUACAGGGAGCCCGGAGGAGGGGCCAGGUCCCAAAGCCCGCAGGAGGGGGGAAGAGCAGUCUGAUUCCGCGUCAGAGGAAUCCAGGAGGGGCGAAACCCCAGCGGGCAGAAGGACCCUGCGGAAAAGGAAGGAGAGAAAGAGGUGGAGCAGCGCAAGCCUCUUAAAUUGGUGUAGGGGAGGGACGGAUUCAGAGGGGACUUCAGCGGUCUAAGCGUAGCAGACGUAAGGCUGCGCGCCUAGGAUGUCAAGCAAACAAUGAACUGCAAUAAACACUUUUGUAUAUAAGAAGACAUAGGCGUUGGUCUUUUGUGAGCUGAGACUUGAGGCAGCCUUGACAGUAAGUCCCCUCUCACAAAACCGCAAAAUUUUUUUUUUUUGCAAAGCUCACGAAGUUUGGCAGAGAUGACUACUGAGGAGCAGAUAGCGUCCCUGCAAAACGCAGUCACCGAGCUCUCCACUGCGGUAGUGGUCUCUCAGAAGACGGUUGCCGAAGCAGAAGCGCGAUGCCAGGAUCUGCAAGCCAGGUGGGAUCGGGCGUGCAAAGAGGGGUUCCCGGGGUCCAGAUCAGAGGGAAUCGGACUCGGACGGAGGGGGGGCAAUUUAGUAGCCCACUUCGAUGGGAACCUGAAGCAUUAUCCCAAUUUCAGAGCAGACGUCGUAUACGCGCUGCAUUUGCUUCAAACGACUUCAAAGAUGAGGAGGAAAAAGUAGGUUUUAUUGUGUCCCAUUUGCAUGGGGAAGCAAGAACCUGGUUACGCAAUUUGUGGCGCGAAGAUGGUCUUGCACGCAGGGACUCUGACGAAUUUAUCAAAGCCAUGGACGCUUGCUUCCAAUCUACCGUUGACGUUGAUAUGGCGCGCCAGGAGAUGCAUGGAUUGCGGCAGGGCAAGGCUACAGUGCGUCAGUACCAUUCUCGCUUUUUUGCAUUGCUGAAUGUGCUGGGCUGGGAAAAGGACUCCCUGGCAGUGAGGGACUUGUUCUGGGAGGGGCUUCAUGGCUCAGUGAAAGAUGAGCUGGCUAGGGGAGACAGACCUCAAACCCUAGCAGACGUCGUGCAGAGGGCACUCACGAUAGGAGUGCGCCACGAAGAACGCCCUUGGCACAGGGAGGAGGGCGUCACGUCCGCCCACCAGCUAGAGCGCCUCCUUUUCCUCCCAGGGACCUGGAACGUGCAAACCUUUCGCCUGUGCUGCAAGGGGGGGAAGAACCAAUGGAGCUGGGUGGUGCAAAGGCUCAGACAGCUGCCGGAGCCUCAGCGUCCGGAGCAGUCAAAGCGAAGCCUCCUAGAGGGACCAGGAAGUGUUACAUCUGUGACAGUGCACGGCACAUGGCUAAAGAGUGUCCCCAGAGGCUCCAGAAGCACACUGCAGCCUUAGCAACAGUAACAGGGGAAGCGUUCCAAGGGGAACAGUUUCAGGGAAACGAGAAUGCCUGGCUGGAGGCAGAGAUGCUGGGGCUCCGCCAGGCAAGUCAGUGAAGCAGUCCCCAGCGCUUUUGCAGCCUACAGACCCCUUACCACCCAAGCCAGUGGUGCAGCUCACUGCUACUCUCCAGCUGCCUAAUGGACUCACCCUGGAAGUCCCCAUUACGAUUGACUCAGGGAGCAACGCAGACUUCGUGGGGGUGCAGUUCAUCAAGCAGCAUCGCAUAGCGCUACUACCAGCCACGCUGCCUCUGAAUGUGGUCACCGUAGAUGGCAGGAAGUUGCUGGGUGGGCAAGUGGUACAACAGACGCCACCCAUGCUGCUGAAAAUUGGGAAUCAUCGCGAGGUCAUCAGUUUCAAUGUCACCCAACUGUCAGACACGCCCAUAGUGUUAGGCAUGAGUUGGCUGGACAGACACAGCCCAUCAUUGGCGUGGUACCAGCGGCAGCUCACCUUUGGCUCGUCCUACUGCGCACAACAUUGCAUCCAGAUCGGCCAGGAGGAGGAGGGCCAGGAGGAAGGGCAACAGUUGCAUCUAGGCAUGGUGCAGGCGGUGCCCCACAAGUACAAGGGGGUUUUGGAGGUUUUCUGCGAGAAGGAAGCUGACCAAUUACCACCCCACCGGCCCUACGACUGUGCAAUUGACCUCUUACCAGGGGCGACGCUGCCGACUGCGAAGCUGUAUUCCAUGUCUGAAGAUGAGAUGCAGGAACUCAGGGAGUUCAUAGAUCACAAUUUGAAGCGGGGAUUCAUCCGAGAAUCCAAGGCAGUGGGGGGGCAGUCCUGUGUUUUUCGUGAAGAAGAAGGACACGCCCCAAAAACGGCUCAUUGUGGACUAUAGGGCCAUAAACUCGAUGACAAAACCCAAGGCUUUCCCCAUGCCCAAGAUUGACGACCUGCUCGCGACGGUGAGGAAGGGGAGGAUCUUCACCAAGUUGGAUCUACGCGGAGCAUACAAUCUAAUACGCAUGAGGGAAGGUGACGAGUGGAAGACGGCCAUGUUCACGCCGCUGGGCACCUAUGAAUACAGAGUUAUGCCGUUUGGUCUCCAAAAUGGCUCCCACUGUUUUCAAGCAUUCAUGCACCACGUGCUAGCAGGACUCCUCUACAAGAAGUGCGUAUGCUUUCUCGACGAUAUUCUGAUCUUCUCGGAAUCGCAGGAGACUCAUGAAAGAGACGUAAAGGAGGUCCUGCAGAGGCUACGGGAGCACAGACUCUACGCCAAGCUGGAGAAGUGCCAGUUCGACGUGACGGAGGUGGAUUUCCUGGGCUACCGGCUGUCCGACAAGGGACUAGCCAUGGACAGCGCCAAGGUCCGCGCGGUGUUGGACUGGAAUAGCCCGCGCAAUCGGAAGGAGGUCCAGAGGUUCGUCGGCUUCGCCAACUUUUACCGCAAGUUCAUCAGGGGUUUCGCGAAAGAGACGGCAGCUAUCACGGACACCCUCAGUUCCAAGAAGAAGUUCACCUGGACGGACCAGGCGGAGCAGUCCUUCAGGAGACUUAAGAGUCUCUUCGCGUCCGAAGACCAGCUGCUACACGUGAAUCCCGGCAGGCCCAUGCGGGUUGAGACUGACGCAUCUGACAGAGCAGUGGGGGCCGUCCUCUUGCAGGAAGAUUCGCAAGGGAACUGGAGGCCCUGCGCUUUCUAUUCCCGGAAGCUCAGCAAGUCGGAACAGAACUACACCAUCUGGGACAGGGAGUUGUUGGCCAUCCACGCGGCUUUCAAGGCGUGGCGGCACUUCCUCAUCGGAGCCAAGCACACCGUGCAGGUCCGCACGGACCACAAGAACCUAGAGUAUUGGCGCACGGCGAAGCUCCAGAGCCAGAGGCACAUGAGAUGGGCGGAGUUCUUUGCGGAUUUCGAUUUCCGGAUAGAGUAUAUCCCGGGAGACAACAACGUCAUAGCGGAUGCGCUCUCCAGGAAACCGCAGUAUCUCGAGGAAGCGGCACCAGUGGCAGCCAGGCACAUUUUCGCACCGCAAGCGUGGGCGUGCGCUUCCGCCGCCGUGGACCUGGACGCAGUACGACGCGCGCUACAGACGGAUCCGUUCGCACAAUCCAAGAUGGAGGAGGUGCGAAGAGGGACAGCAAAGGACGGCGAAUUCCAGAUACGCGACGGCCUGCUGACCCGCAAAGGUGCUCUCUACGUCCCGGGAGACGCUCUCCGCGCGAAGGUUUUACAGCAGUUACACGACGCUCCCAGUGCGGGGUCACUUCGGCAAAGAAAAGACGGCGGACUUAGUAGCCAGAGACUUUUGGUGGCCCCAGAUGCGGGGAGAGGUCGCGGAUUACGUCGCCAGGUGUGACACUUGUCAGAGGUCCAAGCCAGUGCACAAGAAGCCAGCGGGAUUGCUGGAACCGCUGGAGACGCCACUGCAGCCGUGGGAAAGGGUGGCGCUGGACUUUGUUACUGAUCUGCCCAGUUCGCGGGGCAAGACGGCGGUGCUUGUGGUUGUAGAUCUGUUCACCAAGAUGGCGCACUUCAUUCCUUGCGCGAAGGUGGCAACAGCGGAACAGACCGCCAAGCUGUUCAUAGACCACGUGUUCCGGGUGCACGGCUUACCACGGUCCAUCCUGUCCGACCGGGGUCGCCAAUUCAUUUCCAGUUUCUGGCAGAAGCUCCUGGGCAUCCUGAAUGUCAAGAUCAACUUAGCGUCGGCGAGACACCCGCAAACCAACGGCCAAGCGGAGAGGGUCAACGCCAUCAUGCAGCAGUACCUGCGAUGUUACGCCAAUCAAAAGCCUGCAACUUGGGUGGACUACUUACCGAUGGCCGAGUUUGCCUACAACAACACGAAGCACGCGUCAACGGGGGUGACACCGUUCUUCGCCAACAAUGGGCGACAUCCCAGAACCUUCCCGGCGUUGGAGACAACGACGCAGGGGGAGUCGCAGGGAGCGGAACAUUUAGCAGCAGAAUUGCAGGAGGUCCACGAGGAGCUACGACGGCACUUGGAACUGGCUAAACACGCCUACAAAGUGCAGGCAGACAGGCACAGGAGGGCAGGAGAAGACAUCCAGGUGGGGGGGGACCCACCCAAGAUGGCGUUGUUGGUGGAGGCACUGACUUGAGCUCCGCAGCAGUUGUGCGGUUUUUAUUAGUUUUUAUUGGUUUUAUCAGUUUUUAUUCGGCUUUUAUCAGCCUUAGUAUUUUAUCUACAACAUUUGGCAGCUGUUUUUAACUAAUAUAUUCAAGGCUUGAGUUAAAAGCUCAAGUUAAAAGUCUAGAAAAGGAGGAGGGGGAGGAAAAACGCCGAGAAACAAGGAGCGGCUGAAACUGAAGCAUCGGGGUGGAUCCUUACGCUGCCUUCUUGGAGUCUCCUCUCUCUCUGGGAUCUGGUGAGGCCUUCGGGAGUUUCCCUUUUAUCUGAGACCGACCCACGGUGGGCCCUGUGAUAAGCUCCGAAGGAGAAUUUUAUAUUAGUCUUAGUCCUGGUGGGAGUAGGACUUCAAAGGAAUGGUCUGUGUUGCUUAUCGGUAGUCUCCUUGUCGAACUAAAUUGCCGGACUGUGAGGGUGAAGGUGAAGACGCCGACUUACAUAUGAACAGGCAGUGAAAUAUACCCCCACUGCAAGUGCUGGCAGGCUUGAAGGAAAUAUUUAGUUGACGUUAAAAUACUAUCCCCCCUCUACUCGAUAUCUGAAUUAUGGGAUAUGGGAAACGUCUUAGAGAUUCGGAGGAGACAGUCCCCAUUCCCUUUCCGAGAUCAAAGCAAACAAGGGUGGAACCAUGUCACUUUAAGGAAGGGAGUAAUCUACUGGAUUGUUCCUACACGGUAGAAACUCAGAACCGAUUUAACCCUCUGAUUGAUUGCGUGUCAGCACUUAAAGACGAAGAGCGAAUAAUACCUCAAUUAACAAGCAAUGUGGGCAACAGUAAGAGUGUAGCCUCUCCUCAGAAGGAGGAACUGGUCCUUGGCACAGCCAAUUAUAUGACAUUUGAACAGUCCCAUUUAAUAAUCAAAACUUUGCACUGUAUAUUCAAAAGACUAGAUGAUCUUUCGUCCCAGCUGCACAGCCUCCAACAAAAGCUAGUUACUACCUCUCCAGCGUUAGCCGGUGUUAAGUCUCUCGAAGAGAGGAAGGGGACGAGGAGUCUGUCCUUAAAUAACAAACGUACUGACAAAUUUAAAUACAACCUUAACCUUCAAUUAGGUCAUCAAUCCUUGAUUUUAACACCAAGGAAAGUGUGCCUAACUAUACAAAAUGGGGACCCAAGAUGGAGAACUCUGGGCGGUGCCAAGGAACUCCUAAUGGUGCUUUUAAAUAUGGAGGCAACACAGAUUGACCUCUGUGCAGUCCUCCCCUUGUCUAUCAUCAUACAUCACAGAGAGUCCUGCUUGCGUUCCAAUCCACAAAAAUUCCCACUAUCAUAUUACGAAGGAAAGCUUUUGGUUUCGCUGUGGUAUAGCACCAACGAGAGCCUUUAUAGACCCUACGCCUAAACCCCUACUGUUGGAGGCAAUAACCAAAGAGGGCUUAAAAUCUGCUAAACCCGAUCCACCAGUGGCCACCGGAGUGGGUGUUCUCCUCCAGGAGAUGAGUCAUGUGGCCUCCACUCCCCUAGCAAAGAACAAUGACCAUCCGGAAAGUGGCCUGACACCACCAGAAGAGAUCGAACUCAUUGCCUCCUUUGCAGAUUUACCAGCGGUGGAACAAAAAGAAAUUAUUAAUAGACUCGAAUCGCUUAAAACCCAACUUAUCAGGAAGCUCAGCACCAGAAUACCUAUGUACAGCGAGCAUGACAUCCUAGAAGAACCAGUUCAUAUGGAUAUCGCAAUAUCUAAUGCUAAAUGUAUGUCGGUAAUGGAGGAUAAGAUACAACCCCAAGAAGCAACUACCAGUCCUUCCCUCCAACCAGAACAACCCUCCGUGCUCUUAAUAGAUUUACAUGACCGUCCCUUGAUAAACAUACCUGAAGAAAGCAGCACACAACAGGAAAAAUCCCCUUCUACACAUUCAUCGAUGCCAGACCUGGAACCUUCUUAUAGCACUGACCAAUCAAGAGAAGAGGUGCCUUUGCUAAUCUUCCCAAAUAGCCCACUCGCCCAGCCUUAUUCCUCUUUGCGGAGUACUAUGGAUUCAACAGCAAGACCUGUGACGGAACUGAUUGAAGAUCCAACAGGCCACAUAAAUCAAGUAGCCCAAAAGACCAGUAGCAGACCACAGAGAGCCCAAACUUCUGACGAGAUAGAUGGACCACACCGGGUGGCCCACCAAACUCUUUUGGAAAAGGGGGCCGCCCCUGCUCAAGGUCCUACUCCUAGUAGAUCGAGUGGCCAAGUUCAACAGACAGACAACCUUGUAAAUCCUCCCACUCAGCUUUUACGAGAGGUUUUUCAUCAGAGGAAGAUAACUGAUUUUUUUAUUGGCUCCCCUCUUCCCGUAUUAAAGUUGAGCCAACCUUCCGAAUGACAGUCAAUUGGAGGAACGAGGAAACCCCAGCCUUCAAUAUUAAGUUGGAACAUUGCUGGAUGGAAAAGUAAAAAUCAGAUCCAGAAUUCCAAAAAUAUAUUAAUUCCUUUUUAUCAUACUAUUACAAGAAACUUGGGUGGAGGAGGAAAUUGAGUUAAAUGGCUUUGAGUUUAUAUGUCUGCCUGCUAGCCCGUCAACGAAUGGUGGCCGCCCUAAAGGUGGCCUUACAAUUGGUAUCUCCCUUAAACUUCGGGCUAAACUUUCACUAGUGCACGCAUUUCCGCCUUAUGCUAUUACCGGACUGAUCUCUGGUGGAAACUUCUCUUUAUUGGUUACAAAUGUCUAUUUCCCCCCGGGAGGGUUAGCAGCUGAUCUUAUUUCUAGAUGGGAAUCCCUAGAGGAUUUUUACUUUCUUGUUAUCUUAAAUAUCCUAAUGUCCCCUCCAUUACCGGAGGCGAUUUUAACGCUCGGAUAGCCUCAAAUCGGGAGGCUCUUAUAAAGUCUAAAUGGUGGGUCGACCCCGGCGCUCAAACCUACGAUCUAGUAUAUAUCCCCACUAGAAUAUCAAAGGAUGUAAAAGUCAAUAAGGCGGGAGUGAUGCUUUACCAGAUGGCUUUACGCCUUAAUUUAAUUAUAUUAAAUGGCAGGUGUCCUCCAGAUAUACCAGGAGAGUUCACCCAUCUGGGGUUAAAAUCAAACAGUGUUCUUGACUAUGUAUUGGUUUCCCGGGAUCUAUUUUUGAAUGUCACCUCUUUUAAAAUUGAUAAUGCCCAAUUUAGUGACCAUCUUCCCCUGACAACCAAGUUAUGUGUUGACUGGCACCUGCUCGAGCGCUCCCACCCAAUCCCGGUGAUUGCGGAGCCGUCCACUAAAAUAAAGGGGAUUAGAUGGUCCCCUGCCCUCGCCCAUAGAUAUACGGAUUUUAUCCGAGAAAAGUUUCUUGGUGAUCAGCCGGACGUAGGAAUAGUCCCGCGUGAUCCUAUUACCUGUAUGAAUUUUUUCUCUUGCCUGAUAGAAGUUUUAACUCGCUUUUUUACUUCUCCAAGCUAUGGAGUUAAAAACGAUUAUUUUAAAUUUGGCGCCCCUUGGUUCAACUCUGCUUGUAAACUAGCCAGACUCCAUCUACAUACAAUAUAUAAUGACUAUAAACUUUCCGGCGCUCUGGCCUUACCUCCAUCUUAUUCCCUGGCUAAACUCGCCUCCAAUCAGGCCCAGAAAUCGGCCAAACGGGAAUGGCAUUUAAAUCGCUGGCAGACUAUAAUUUCUGCCUCAAAAUCUCAUAACUCCCGGAAAUUUUGGUCCUUAAUUAAGGGAAGAAACACGAAAUACCCCUUAACGGUGAUCCCGGCCCCUACAUGGGAGCAGUUCCUGAGAAAAUAUUUCUCAGUGGCAGAAGCUCCGGCCACUCACUGGAGACCUUCUAAUCCCCUUCCCGUCUGGCACAAUACCGACCCUGCUGAAAUCCUAGAAUUGAUAGCUGAGCUGAAAACUGGUAAGGCCCCUGGGCCAGAUUUGGUCCCUGUUGAGGCUAUAAAGCUACAUUCUGCAUGGUGGGCAGGGAUUUUAGCUAAAACGUUUGACGCAAUAAAUGCCACGGGCUUAAUACCAGGUACGUGGAAGGAGGCCAUUAUAAUUCCUAUCUACAAAAAAGGCCCUCCCGGUGACCCAGGGAAUUACCGGAAUAUCAGUCUGCUAUCGUCCAUUGGGAAAAUAUAUGCCCGUUUUUGCUGGCAAGGCUGAUGAAGUGGUCAGCUGAGGCUGACCUGAUUGGGCAUGAGCAAGCCGGAUUUAGAUUAAAUCGAUCCACAACAGAUCAGGCAAUUAUUCUUUAUCACUUAGCCCGGAAAUACUCGACACCUCGACGGGGCCAACUUUGCGCAGCCUUCAUAGAUUUGAAAGCUGCGUUUGAUAGUAUUCCGAGGCAAUUACUAUGGGAUAAACUUGCCUGCUGGGGAAUAGAUAGAAGGCUCCUGUGGCUUAUCUCCCAACUUCAUGCCGGAUCCGUGGCCAGGGUAAGAAUAUCCCCUGCUGGAGACCUAACUAACCCAGUGCCAGUAAAUAAGGGUGUACGCCAGGGUUGUAUUUUAGCGCCUCUUCUUUUUAACUUAUUUAUCAGUGAUAUGAGGAACCCAUUAAUCGACUCACAAAAAUUUAUCCACACCCCCCGUAUAGCAGAUUAUCGUUGUCCUUUACUUCUCUACGCAGAUGAUGCGGUACUACUCUCUUACUCCAGAGUGGGUUUAAGGAGGGCACUAAAGAUUUUUGCAUCAUAUUGCCGUUCUAAUCAUCUGUCUAUCAACCACACCAAGUCCAAAGUACUGAUAUUUUCAAGGAGUCGAAAAUUAUAUUCAUGGAAAUUGGAGGGCACGAAAAUCGAACAAGUACACAAAUUUAAAUAUUUAGGAAUUUAUUUUCAAUAUAAUCUAGGGUGGAAAGCGCACGUUGAAUAUCUUCAAAACAAGACAAAAGCCCUAUCACACUCCCUCCUCCGUUUUUCUACUCUGAGGGGCCUUAUUCAUCCCUGCGGCCUUGAAAGUGUAUAGCAUUAAAGUGAUGGCCACAAUGGCCUAUGCUGCACCUUUAUGGGCUGCUUUUGCAAACCUCUCACCUUUAGAGUCGCUUCAAAGCCAAUUCUUACGCCGACUUCUAAAACUACCAACAUGCGUAAGUAAUGCGGCUAUUCGCUUAGAAAUGAAGAUCCCCUCAGUGGAGUUAGUUUUAUGGAGGAGAGUUUUGAUUUAUUGGAUAUCCCUAUGGCAUAAACUACCGAACCAUUAUCUCAUUCAAUGCAUGUGGCGGGAUGACUUCACAAAUUUGUGGUCAGGAAAAAUCCAUGCCAAAUUGCUGUCCUAUGAGAUCUCGCCCACGGAAUUGCUCAAACUGGAUCUAAACGCGGCAAAAAGGUGUAUAAAUCAAAGGCUGGAUGAUGUGGAGCUAUACCAAAAUUUCUUAGCUGGUGGUGGAGCCUGCUCCCCGUUAAAUCUCGGCAUAACCCCUAUCUAUCGUGCUCCGUCCUACUUAACAUCGCUUAUAGCCGCAUCUCACCGAUAUGCCUUCAUUAGAGCCAGGUUCAAUGUUUUUCCAACAAACGUGCUGAGACAUAGAUUCACUAAGGGCCAAGUCCCUUCAAUGUGUGCUUGUGAAAUGAAAACAUCUGAAUCUUUACAUCAUGUUAUGUUUAUCUGCCCUAUGUACAGUUCAGCUCGCGCUAGUAUACUAAACUCCAUAAUCCAGCCUAUGGCUGACAAACCAGUAGACCUACAGCUUGCCUGGGUUCUUCAAGAUGCAGAUCCUUAUAUUACUCUACAGGUUGCUAAAUUCCUAACAGCCGUUCUCUCGUACAAGAGACGGAAUGGAAUGUUAGCUGAUUAUUGAUAGUUAUAAGAAUUUUUGAUAUUGACAUCAGAUAUUGAUUUUAGCGUAGUGCCUAAAUUUUUAACUUUAAUCUUAAAUUUCUGUUUUGAUUUGCCAAUAUUUGUCCUUGUGAGCUGUGAAUUGUGUUAUAUUACUUGUGGCUUGUACGAGACCGCUGUUUUAUUUGAUUUGUUUUGUGUGUUGUGCUUUAUGAUGGGCGUAAAGCCGAAUAAACAUUUUGAUUGAUCAUCCAGGUGGGGGACUGGGUAUGGUUAGCAGCCCAGGCGGUGCCGGCCAAGUCGUUAGCUAAGAAGAAGCUAGGACACAAACAGCUAGGGCCAUACCAAGUUGAGGGCAGGAUCAAUCCCGUAGCUUCGGUUGACCCUCCCAGAGGAUUCCAGAAUGCACCCGGUCUUUCAUAGGUCGGUGCUUACACCCUACAAUGCCCCACACAGAUUUCAGGAGCCAGGGACGGCACCAGACCCACGUAGAAGUCACCGGGGGGGGGAAGUCACCGAGGACCCCGACACUCAACGAGGUCACGGAAAUUCUGGACUCGAGAUGGGGGAGGAGGGAGUGGAAUACCUCCUCGCCAGGAAGGUACCCCGGCCAGCGCCAACAGUUGGGUGCCAGAUUAUGCUCUGGAGGAACCUUUGCUUAAGGACGAGUUCCAUGCACUCUUCCCACACAGGCCCAUGCCAGAGGAGUAUUUUGACGACUGGCUGUUUACCCCCACCCUUGCCGGCAGCACCUUCCGGGGGGGUCUCCUCCGCAGAGGAGACCACGCCGCCAUCGAGCCCUCCAAGGGGAUCGUGCUCGGGGGUGGACACGGACCGCUCUUAUUGGUGGGACGAUCAACCAGAAGUGGGGUGGCGAAGGGGGCCUUGGCAAGCAGCUUCGCCUGAAGUAACAGGGGGAGGGAAGGGUUUGGAGGUGUUGGGGGAGGACCCCGGUUCGAGCACUCCUACACUGAACUGGAAGCAGAGGAGAUCGACGUCGACGAACUGUAUCCAGCAUCUACCCCCGCUACAAUGAAGCUCCCGGAACCUGCGCCCGAGCAGCGGGAGGGAGGAAGGGGGGGCUUCGAGGGGGGGAUGGAUGUCAGGGGUUCAGGGAGAGAGGCACAGGGUAGGCAGGAGAUGGAGAGCGAUGGGGAUGAAUUCCAAGCCAGCGAGGAAGAGGAUGACAAUGACUCAAGAGAUUCCAUGAGUCUUUCCAGCGAAUCAGAGGAUUCCCAGAAGGGGCGCCGGUGGUCAAGGCCAGGAGCCCCAGGGGGACGUGUCAGGAGCAGGGGGCCAGCGGAGGAUCCCAAAGUGGCAGCUGGGCGUCAGGACCAGCCUCCCCACCAGAGUGCAGCGAAGGGGGUGGAGUUUCCAGUGUGUCAGGGAAGCAGCUCCGGCAGCAGAGAAAGGAGGGAGGUCAGAGCAAGCCGCCCUCCCGGAAGGGGAGGGAGCAGUGAAGGGAGUAGUGUAACUGUCAAAAGGAAAGUUAGAGGUUUGGCGCGCGCGCCAAGUUCAAAUGUAGAGGCGCGCGGAAGUACAGGGAGCCCGGAGGAGGGGCCAGGUCCCAAAGCCCGCAGGAGGGGGAAGAGCAGUCUGAUUCCGCGUCAGAGGAAUACAGGAGGGCGAAACCCCAGCGGGCAGAAGGACCCUGCGGAAAAGGAAGGAGAGAAAGAGGUGGAGCAGCGCAAGCCUCUUAAAUUGGUGCAGGGGAGGGACGGAUUCAGAGGGGACUUCAGCGGUCUAAGCGUAGCAGACGUAAGGCUGCGCGCCUAGGAUGUCAAGCAAACAAUGAACUGCAAUAAACACUUUUGUAUAUAAGAAGACAUAGGCGUUGGUCUUUUGUGAGCUGAGACUUGAGGCAGCCUUGACAGUAUGGAUUUUUU
Molecule: non-coding RNA, 12225 nt
Organism: Podarcis lilfordi (Lilford's wall lizard)
Lineage: Eukaryota; Metazoa; Chordata; Lepidosauria; Squamata; Lacertidae
Source: the annotation of a GenBank genome assembly